GGGUGAUUAGCUCAGCUGGGAGAGCGCCUCCCUUACAAGGAGGGGGUCGGCGGUUCGAUCCCGUCAUCACCCACCA
RNAcentral lists this transfer RNA (76 nucleotides) under Escherichia coli. RNAcentral describes it as "tRNA-Val". It matches the Rfam family "tRNA". From Rfam's summary of the family: Transfer RNA (tRNA) molecules are approximately 80 nucleotides in length. Their secondary structure includes four short double-helical elements and three loops (D, anti-codon, and T loops). RNAcentral also lists the same sequence under 17 other names. The record is from RNAcentral. Lineage: Bacteria; Pseudomonadati; Pseudomonadota; Gammaproteobacteria; Enterobacterales; Enterobacteriaceae.